AGUUUGAUUCUGGCUCAGGAUGAACGCUAGCGGCAGGCUUAACACAUGCAAGUCGAGGGGCAGCGUGGAGUAGCAAUACUCUGACGGCGACCGGCGAAAGGGUGAGUAACGCGUGAGCAACAUGCCCGAUACUGGAGGAUAGUCGAUGGAAACGUCGCGUAAUACUCCGUAACAUAGGGGACCGCAUGAUUCUCUAUUAAUAGAUUUAUCGGUAUCGGAUUGGCUCGCGUACCAUUAGCUAGUUGGCGGGGUAACGGCCCACCAAGGCGACGAUGGUUAGGGGUUCUGAGAGGAAGGUCCCCCACAUUGGAACUGAGACACGGUCCAGACUCCUACGGGAGGCAGCAGUGAGGAAUAUUGGACAAUGGCCGAGAGGCUGAUCCAGCCAUGCCGCGUGCGGGAGGACGGCCCUAUGGGUUGUAAACCGCUUUUGUUGGGGAGCAAUAAGGGUCACGUGUGACCUGAUGAGAGUACCCAGCGAAUAAGCAUCGGCUAACUCCGUGCCAGCCGCCGC
RNAcentral lists this ribosomal RNA (514 nucleotides) under uncultured bacterium. Its description in RNAcentral is "bacterial SSU rRNA". It matches the Rfam family "Bacterial small subunit ribosomal RNA", at positions 10 to 518 of the family's 1533-position model. The record is from RNAcentral.